Molecule: ribosomal RNA, 270 nt
Filed under: uncultured bacterium
Lineage: Bacteria
Description: partial 16S ribosomal RNA
Rfam family: Bacterial small subunit ribosomal RNA
Source: RNAcentral
AGUGAACGCUGGCGGCAGGCCUAACACAUGCAAGUCGAGCGGCAGCACAGGCGUAGCAAUACGUUGGGUGGCGAGCGGCGGACGGGUGAGGAACACAUCGGAAUCUACCCUGUCGUGGGGGACAACGUAGGGAAACUUACGCUAAUACCGCAUACGACCUUUGGGUGAAAGUGGGGGACCGCAAGGCCUCACGCGAUUGGAUGAGCCGAUGUCCGAUUAGCUAGUUGGCGGGGUAAGAGCCCACCAAGGCGACGAUCGGUAGCUGGUCUG